AGAGUUUGAUUAUGGCUCAGGAUGAACGCUGGCGGCGUGCUUAACACAUGCAAGUCGAACGAGGCUUGUCGACGGAAAUUUCGGAUGGAAGACGGCAUGACCGAGUGGCGGACGGGUGAGUAACGCGUGGGAACCUGCCCCAUUCCGGGGGAUACCAGUUGGAAACGACUGUUAAUACCGCAUAAGCGCACGGGAAGGCAUCUUCCAGUGUGAAAAACUGAGGUGGAAUGGGAUGGCCCCGCGUCUGAUUAGCCAGUUGGCAGGGUAACGGCCUACCAAAGCGACGAUCAGUAGCCGGCCUGAGAGGGCGACCGGCCACAUUGGGACUGAGACACGGCCCAAACUCCUACGGGAGGCAGCAGUGGGGAAUAUUGCACAAUGGGGGGAACCCUGAUGCAGCGAACCGCCGCGUGAGUGAGGAAGUAUUUCGGUAUGUAAAGCUCUAUCAGCAGGGAAGAAGAUGACGGUACCUGCACAAGAAGCCCCGGCUAACUACGUGCCAGCCGCUGC
This 510-nucleotide ribosomal RNA is filed under the name uncultured bacterium. RNAcentral's name for it is "bacterial SSU rRNA". It matches the Rfam family "Bacterial small subunit ribosomal RNA", at positions 8 to 518 of the family's 1533-position model. The record is from RNAcentral.